This 434-nucleotide RNase P RNA is filed under the name Oscillatoria sp. SIO1A7. RNAcentral describes it as "RNase P RNA component class A". It matches the Rfam family "Bacterial RNase P class A". From Rfam's summary of the family: Ribonuclease P (RNase P) is a ubiquitous endoribonuclease, found in archaea, bacteria and eukarya as well as chloroplasts and mitochondria. Its best characterised activity is the generation of mature 5'-ends of tRNAs by cleaving the 5'-leader elements of precursor-tRNAs. Cellular RNase Ps are ribonucleoproteins. The record is from RNAcentral. Lineage: Bacteria; Bacillati; Cyanobacteriota; Cyanophyceae; Oscillatoriales; Oscillatoriaceae.
GGAAGUAGGCGUAGGCGGUUGCAGGCUCGCCCUUGAGCCUGAGGAAAGUCCGGGCUCCCGAAAGGCCAAACUUGCUGGGUAACGCCCAGUGCGGGCGACCGUGAGGAUAGUGCCACAGAAAGAUACCGCCAAUCGGCAGGCAUUCAAUUGGCAGACAGCAACGGCGAAAAGCUUAAGCCUGGAAGCUAAUAGUCAAAUGCCGAUUGGUAAGGGUGCAAAGGUGCGGUAAGAGCGCACCAGCAGGGUCGAGAGGCUCUGGCUCGGUAAACCCCGGUUGGGUGCAAGGUCGAAGGAACCACGGUUGGCCUUUUACCAGUUCCGCUUGUAAAGAACCGCAAGAGGCGUCUGGUAACAGGCGUCCCAGAUAGAUAACCGCCCCCCUAGUUGCAAGGCAAUUAGGGGAACAGAACCCGGCUUACUACCGACUUUCUCCC